RNAcentral lists this unclassified non-coding RNA (287 nucleotides) under Hevea brasiliensis (rubber tree). Lineage: Eukaryota; Viridiplantae; Streptophyta; Magnoliopsida; Malpighiales; Euphorbiaceae. The record is from RNAcentral.
GUAGAAGACAAUUUGUUAAUCAUCAAAUUUAUUCUUGCAAUUCUAGACUCAUCCAUAAACUCAGAAGAAAAACAUGCUGCCACCUUAAAGUACUACCUUACCAUUCCCCUAGUAGCACUUAGUAGGGUUCUUCAGUUUUCAUUCUAUGUAAAUUGCUUAAGUCUAAAACUUCAUGAUGACGAGAACAAAGAUUGUCAAUUUUUUGAACUAAACUUCCCACAAAUUCUAUUUUUAUUUUUAAGAACAAAAUUUUCCUCCUUUCCCCUCUUGACAAGUAAAAGCCACCU